RNAcentral lists this ribosomal RNA (103 nucleotides) under Streptomyces sp. SID1034. RNAcentral describes it as "partial 23S ribosomal RNA". The stretch from base 22 to 103 matches the Rfam family "Bacterial large subunit ribosomal RNA", at positions 1 to 82 of the family's 2925-position model. Lineage: Bacteria; Bacillati; Actinomycetota; Actinomycetes; Kitasatosporales; Streptomycetaceae. The record is from RNAcentral.
ACAGUGGACGCGAGCAUCUGUGGCCAAGUUUUUAAGGGCGCACGGUGGAUGCCUUGGCACCAGGAACCGAUGAAGGACGUGGGAGGCCACGAUAGUCCCCGGG